This 431-nucleotide ribosomal RNA is filed under the name uncultured bacterium. Its description in RNAcentral is "partial 16S ribosomal RNA". It matches the Rfam family "Bacterial small subunit ribosomal RNA", at positions 29 to 507 of the family's 1533-position model. The record is from RNAcentral.
AACGAACGCUGGCGGCAGGCUUAACACAUGCAAGUCGAGCGCCCCGCCAGGGGAGCGGCCGACGGGUGAGUAACGCGUGGGAACGUACCUUUUGGUUCGGAACAACUCCGGGAAACUGGAGCUAAUACCGGAUAAGCCCUAACGGGGAAAGAUUUAUCGCCGAAGGAUCGGCCCGCGUCUGAUUAGCUAGUUGGUGAGGUAACGGCUCACCAAGGCGACGAUCAGUAGCUGGUCUGAGAGGAUGAUCAGCCACACUGGGGAUGAGACACGGCCCAGACUCCUACGGGAGGCAGCAGUGGGGAAUAUUGGACGAUGGGCGCAAGCCUGAUCCAGCCAUGCCGCGUGAGUGAUGAAGGCCUUAGGGUUGUAAAGCUCUUUUGUCCGGGAAGAUAAUGACUGUACCGGAAGAAUAAGCCCCGGCUAACUUCGUG